GACGAACGCUGGCGGCGUGCUUAACACAUGCAAGUCGAGCGGUAAGGCCUCUUCGGGGGUACACGAGCGGCGAACGGGUGAGUAACACGUGGGCGACCUGCCCUCAGCUUCGGGAUAAGCCUGGGAAACUGGGUCUAAUACCGGAUAUGACUUCGCAUCGCAUGGUGUGUUGUGGAAAGUCCUGGGCUUAGUUGUCUGGGCUCGGCUGGGGAUGGGCCCGCGGCCUAUCAGCUUGUUGGUGGGGUGAUGGCCUACCAAGGCGACGACGGGUAGCCGG
RNAcentral lists this ribosomal RNA (277 nucleotides) under uncultured bacterium. Its description in RNAcentral is "partial 16S ribosomal RNA". It matches the Rfam family "Bacterial small subunit ribosomal RNA", at positions 28 to 290 of the family's 1533-position model. The record is from RNAcentral.